UGGGCUUGACAUACUAGUGGUAGGGAACCGAAAGGGGGACCGACCUUCGGGAGGCUAGUACAGGUGCUGCAUGGCUGUCGUCAGCUCGUGUCGUGAGAUGUUCGGUUAAGUCCGAAAACGAGCGCAACCCCUGGGAGUAGUUACACGUGUCUACUCCGACUGCCCGUGAGAAACGGGAGGAAGGUGGGGAUGACGUCAAGUCAGCAUGGCCUUUAUGUCCAGGGCGACACACACGCUACAAUGGGCGG
This 248-nucleotide ribosomal RNA is filed under the name uncultured bacterium. RNAcentral's name for it is "partial 16S ribosomal RNA". It matches the Rfam family "Bacterial small subunit ribosomal RNA", at positions 976 to 1237 of the family's 1533-position model. The record is from RNAcentral.